CAAGUCGAACGAGCCCUUUGGAAUUGAAGUUUCGGCUGAUUUUCUAGAGUAAGCUAGUGGCAGACGGGUGAGUAACACUUAGGUAACCUGCCCUUAAGUCUGGGAUAACUCCGAGAAAUCGGAGCUAAUACCGGAUAUUCUCUUUUUAUCGAUGGAUAGUUAGAGGAAAGUUUUUUCGCUUAAGGAGGGGCCUAAGUCUGAUUAGCUUGUUGGUGGGGUAAUGGCCUACCAAGGCAACGAUCAGUAGCUGGUCUGAGAGGAUGAUCAGCCACACUGGGACUGAGACACGGCCCAGACUCCUACGGGAGGCAGCAGUGGGGAAUAUUGCGCAAUGGGCGAAAGCCUGACGCAGCGACGCCGCGUGAGUGAUGAAGCCCUUCGGGGUGUAAAGCUCUGUCAAGAGGAAUGAUAAUGACAGUACCUCUAGAGGAAGUCACGGCUAAUUACGUGCCAGCAGCCGCGGUAAUACGUAAGUGGCAAGCGUUAUCCGGAUUUACUGGGCAUAAAGAGCACGUAGGUGGUAACUUAAGUCAGAUGUUAAAGCCCACAGCUCAACUGUGGUUCGCAUUUGAAACUGAGUUACUAGAGAUCAGAAGAGGGAAGCGGAACUCAUGGUGUAGCGGUGAAAUGCGUAGAUAUCAUGAGGAACACCAGUGGCGAAGGCGGCUUCCUGGUCUGAAUCUGACAUUGAGGUGCGAAAGCGUGGGGGGCGAACGGGAUUAGAUACCCCGGUAGUCCACGCCGUAAACUGUGUUCACUAGGUGUAGGAGGUAUCGACCCCUUCUGUGCCACAGAUAAUUCGUUAAGUGAACCGCCUGGGGAGUACGACCGCAAGGUUAAAACUCAAAGGAAUUGACGGGGGCCCGCACAAGCAGUGGAGCAUGUGGUUUAAUUCGAUGAUACGCGAAGAACCUUACCAGGGUUUGACAUCUAGGGAAUCUUCUAGAGAUAGAGGAGUGCCGCAAGGAGCCCUAAGACAGGUGGUGCAUGGCUGUCGUCAGCUCGUGUCGUGAGAUGUUGGGUUAAGUCCCGCAACGAGCGCAACCCUCGUCCUGUGUUGCCAGCAUUUCGGAUGGGAACUCACAGGAGACUGCCCGUGGAAAGCGGGAGGAAGGUGGGGAUGACGUCAAGUCAUCAUGCCCCUUACGUCCUGGGCUACACACAUGCUACAAUGGUCGGUACAAAGGGUAGCUAAACCGCAGGUGGUGCCAAUCUCAGAAAACCGGCCUAAGUUCGGAUUGUAGUCUGCAACUCGACUACAUGAAGCAGGAAUUGCUAGUAAACGUGUAUCAGCUACGUCACGUUGAAUACGUUCCCGGGCCUUGUACACACCGCCCGUCACACCAUGAGAGUUGGAGGCACCCGAAGCCAGCGUGCUAACCGCAAGGAAGCAGCUGUCGAAGGUGAAAUCAGCGAUUGGGGUGAAGUCGUAACAAGGUA
RNAcentral lists this ribosomal RNA (1440 nucleotides) under metagenome. Its description in RNAcentral is "bacterial SSU rRNA". It matches the Rfam family "Bacterial small subunit ribosomal RNA". The record is from RNAcentral.